GACGAACGCUGGCGGCGUGCUUAACACAUGCAAGUCGAACGGAAAGGCCCUGCUUUUGUGGGGUGCUCGAGUCGCGAACGGGUGUGUAACACGUGAGUUAUCUGCCCUUGACUUUGGGAUAACUUCAGGACACUGGGGCUUAUACCGGAUAGGCGCUCCUGCUGCAUGGUGUGGGUUGGAAAGUUUCGGGGGUUGGGGACGGACUCGCGGCUUACCAGUUGGUUGGUGGGGUAGUGGCUUACCAAGGCUUUGACGGGUAGCCGGCCUGAGUGGGUGACCGGCCACAUUGGGACUGAGAUACGGCCCAGACUCCUACGGGGGGCAGCAGUGGGGAAUAUUGCACAAUGGGCGGAGGCCUGAUGCAGCAACGCCGCGUGCGGGAUAACGGCCUUCGGGUUGUAAACCGCUUUCGCCGGUGACGAAGCGUGAGUGACGGUAAUGGGUAAAGAAGCACCGGCUAACUACGUG
RNAcentral lists this ribosomal RNA (468 nucleotides) under uncultured bacterium. RNAcentral's name for it is "partial 16S ribosomal RNA". It matches the Rfam family "Bacterial small subunit ribosomal RNA", at positions 28 to 507 of the family's 1533-position model. The record is from RNAcentral.